Molecule: long non-coding RNA, 404 nt
Organism: Helianthus annuus (common sunflower)
Lineage: Eukaryota; Viridiplantae; Streptophyta; Magnoliopsida; Asterales; Asteraceae
Exons: 3
Source: RefSeq, a predicted model, not a curated record
CAAGAAGCAGAGGGCGACAAGGGGUUCUCCACCAAACCCUAAUUCACACAAAAACCACAAAUUAAGGGCUUAAAUCAACUUGAAAUCGAAAUCUAAGCAUAGAAUCGUGAUCACCUCGUCAAAGGGAUCAUAAGGCAAGGAAUCCGGAACGUCAAGCGGACACGCCGGAGGGGAUACACAUGGAAAAGGUGUGCUUUAAGGGUGACGUUGGUCUUAUCCCGGAUGGCGAUCAAGUAGAAAUCCAAGAACCGAACACGCAUUUUGAAAGCUUCCGCGUUAACGUAACUUCAUCUAGACAAAGUUUUUGAUGUAAAUGACUUGUUACUCAUAUUAUGAAUGUUUUAAACUAGUCGAUAGUUGACUAGUAAGUGUCACUUUGAAACUUUUAUUUUGUAGUUAUGUAA